Molecule: ribosomal RNA, 253 nt
Filed under: uncultured bacterium
Lineage: Bacteria
Description: partial 16S ribosomal RNA
Rfam family: Bacterial small subunit ribosomal RNA
Source: RNAcentral
UACGUAGGCAGCAAGCGUUGUUCGGAAUUACUGGGCGUAAAGGGCUCGUAGGCGGCCAACUAAGUCAGACGUGAAAUCCCUCGGCUUAACCGGGGAACUGCGUCUGAUACUGGAUGGCUCGAGUUUGGGAGAGGGAUGCGGAAUUCCAGGUGUAGCGGUGAAAUGCGUAGAUAUCUGGAGGAACACCGGUGGCGAAGGCGGCAUCCUGGACCAACACUGACGCUGAUGAGCGAAAGCCAGGGGAGCAAACGGG